Molecule: ribosomal RNA, 513 nt
Filed under: uncultured bacterium
Lineage: Bacteria
Description: bacterial SSU rRNA
Rfam family: Bacterial small subunit ribosomal RNA
Source: RNAcentral
GGACGAACGCUGGCGGCGUGCCUAAUACAUGCAAGUCGAGCGAAUGAUUAGAGAAGCUUGCUUCUCUCUGAUUUAGCGGCGGACGGGUGAGUAACACGUGGGUAACCUACCCUAUAGACUGGGAUAACUUCGGGAAACCGGAGCUAAUACCGGAUAAUACUUCGAAACACAUGUUUUGAAGUUGAAAGAUGGUUUCGGCUAUCACUAUAGGAUGGACCCGCGGCGCAUUAGCUAGUUGGUGAGGUAACGGCUCACCAAGGCAACGAUGCGUAGCCGACCUGAGAGGGUGAUCGGCCACACUGGGACUGAGACACGGCCCAGACUCCUACGGGAGGCAGCAGUAGGGAAUCUUCCACAAUGGACGAAAGUCUGAUGGAGCAACGCCGCCGUGAGUGAAGAAGGAUUUCGGUUCGUAAAACUCUGUUGCAAGGGAAGAACAAGUAGCGUAGUAACUGGCGCUACCUUGACGGUACCUUGUUAGAAAGCCACGGCUAACUACGUGCCAGCCGCCGC